This 409-nucleotide ribosomal RNA is filed under the name bacterium. RNAcentral's name for it is "partial 16S ribosomal RNA". It matches the Rfam family "Bacterial small subunit ribosomal RNA", at positions 355 to 776 of the family's 1533-position model. The record is from RNAcentral.
UGGGGAAUAUUGCACAAUGGGCGAAAGCCUGAUGCAGCGACGCCGCGUGAGGGAUGACGGCCUUCGGGUUGUAAACCUCUUUCAGCAGGGACGAAGCGCAAGUGACGGUACCUGCAGAAGAAGCACCGGCUAACUACGUGCCAGCAGCCGCGGUAAUACGUAGGGUGCAAGCGUUGUCCGGAAUUACUGGGCGUAAAGAGUUCGUAGGCGGUUUGUCGCGUCGUUUGUGAAAACCAGCAGCUCAACUGCUGGCUUGCAGGCGAUACGGGCAGACUUGAGUACUGCAGUGGAGACUGGAAUUCCUGGUGUAGCGGUGAAAUGCGCAGAUAUCAGGAGGAACACCGGUGGCGAAGGCGGGUCUCUGGGCUGUAACUGACGCUGAGGAACGAAAGCGUGGGUAGCGAACAGG